This is a long non-coding RNA of Triticum dicoccoides, 1815 nucleotides long. RefSeq lists it as uncharacterized. Lineage: Eukaryota; Viridiplantae; Streptophyta; Magnoliopsida; Poales; Poaceae. The record is from RefSeq and is a predicted model, not a curated record. The transcript is spliced from 3 exons.
GAAUGCGAGCGAAGCCUCCCUGCCUGCCGGUUGCCGGCCGACCUGGCGCAGCGCAGCCUGCGACGAGUCCACCUCCAGCGACCGAUUUCACCCUCGCUCCACCGCGCCGGCAUCGUCCGCACUCCGCGACAGAUCUCCCCUCUCUCCUUCCUUGGCCAAUCUCCGGUGGCUGCUGCCGCUGCAGCCGUGAACCAGACGCGAGCCGCCGCCUCGACCCUCGUAGCCUCGUGCGCCCGUGGCCUGUUCGACGGAAUUCCCCGCCGGGGCGCCUGGUUCGGCUUCCGGCGCUGAGGAUGCUCUUGCGGGCGUACGUGGGCAUCCUGGCACGCGGAGCCAGGCCCGACGCGUACACGCUCCUGCCAUAAUGCCAUUGCUCAAUGCGCGGUGUGGAGCCGGCUGUCGGACUCCGUUCACGCGCAAGUCGUGGCUAAGUUUGGGCUAGAGCUCAACGCCCGCUUGCCAAAGCUCUCUGGUCCUCAAGGUGAGGAGGCUAUCCAUAUGAUUUACAGGAUGCUCCAGAUGAAGGGGCAGUCAUCAGUGCAUAGCGAAACCAGCCACAGAAGCCACUAAAGGUCAGCCUCGGGAUACCAAGCUCCCUCGCGAUGUCACCAGUCCACCAGUGAAUCAGGUCAGAUAUGAUGCAGCUCGGAGGCGAGCGCUGCUGCUCAUGGAGGUAUGCCUUGAGCGGCUCCUGAAGCAUAGCGAUGGCAUACAUGAAGUUGGGGAGAAGAUCCGUGGAUUGGAUCAUGUCUAGGUUCUCGCACCCGUCCGGUAGGCCGAACUCGGCGCUCGGGAAAUGGAGCUCCAUGAGCCGAACUUCCAGGCCCGACGCCUCCACAUCGGCUGCAAAGCCUGCCAACCUGGAGGCGUUCACUGGCGUGGUGAUGAAGCUGACAUGCGCUCCGUGCUCUGCCAGCAGGCGCGCCAUGUCGGUGAUGGGGAUGGUGUGCCCCUGAGCCAACAUCGGUACCAGCACAAAGUGCGCCCUCAUGGAGCCGCUCUGGCCAUCGCCACUGCCCGUGAAGGUCAUGGCUAAUCGGCUGUUGUAGCAAAAGUACUGGUGAUGGAGUCAGUCAAACUGGGAGAACAGUGACACUGGCAAGAUAGCAUGAUCUGCUGGACACAAUCAGAUGAUGGUCACAAUGGCAACUAUAGUGUGUGUAUAUAACACCUGGUGCUAUACCUUCCCAAGGAAAGUUGACGAGCUGACGAUGCAACAGCGUAUCAAAUUGGCCACCUCUUGCCAGUGACGCAUGCUCUCACAUCAAUCAUGGACUCGUGGAGUCAGCCAUGUGGAUGAAUCUUCAGGUUCUGAAUCGUCAGAAUCCAGGCCAUCUGAUCAGACAUUGAGGGCUCAGAUUAACCACCGCUACCGCCUGUCACGCUCAAAGAGGAGUCAUUUUUACAGGAUUUGGAUGAUCCCCAUGUCUGAUGCUGACUUGUCGUAUAUGCACACUUACUUAACUCUCAAGGCUGUGGAAGGCCGAGCCAGCCGAUAUAAUAUGAUAGUGCAUUAUUUUCUGUGUGGAGAUUCAGUCAUUCAGUGUACUGUGAUAGUGGGUGGAAUUUUCUUGUUUGUAUCCUUUCAGAGUUUUGUUAGUGAGAAGCUAAAAGGAACUCCCAGUGACAUGGAAAAUAUGAGUCCAUUUCUGGAGCGACGCAAUGCAUCCUAAUCAACACAGUGGCUUCCUGACGCAAAGAGGGACGAGAAGCCACAAAAGCCACUAAAGGUGAGCCUCGGGAUGCCAAGCUCCCUUGCAAUGUCGCCGGUCCACCAGUGCAUCAUGUCAGAUAUGAUGCAGCUAGGAGGCGAGC